This is a long non-coding RNA of Amborella trichopoda, 728 nucleotides long. RefSeq lists it as uncharacterized. The record is from RefSeq and is a predicted model, not a curated record. Lineage: Eukaryota; Viridiplantae; Streptophyta; Magnoliopsida; Amborellales; Amborellaceae.
UUGAAUCCUGGAGAGUGGCCGAUCCACAUUUUUGGCCCAAAAAUAGGGAUGACCUUAUUCCUCUAAAAUAGGUGGAAUAAGCCAAUCCAACUUAAGUUGAAUUGGACAAUCCCCAUCAUCGAGCCGAAUUCUUUUCGCAAAACAAUAUUUCAUAGUGCUAUUUGACAUCCGGCAACAAAAUCGAAAGGGGAAAAAGAAACCGCAACAAAAACAAACAGAGAAAAGGAAAUUGUGUCGCUCUCUCUCCCUCUGCUAGGGUUCACUGUGCUGCUCUCUAUGCCUCUGCUCGCUAUCUCCCUCCCGCUCGAGCCAUCAAGGACCCUGUCAAGCUCUUGACACCAAGAUACCGGAAUGCUCCAGGCAAGUGCUAGGCUGCUCAAGAGCCGUGCAUUGCUCCUAUCUCACUAUAGAGGAGGCAGUGACACGAUUUCAAGAUUAUCAAAAAAGCCAUGGACGUGUAGUUAUUCCUACAAAUGGGGGACCUGUACCUGUUUCAACCACUGGGAGUGCAUUGAAGACAAUUGCAUUCGUAGCAAUACUUAUAUGCAUAUGUUUGUCAUCAUAUUGUAUUUUUCUUCUAACAUGUAUUAUUUUGCAUUAGACCAUUAUUACUCUAAAUUAAACUAGAUCUUGGUGCAAACUAACUCUCCUUAUUACUUUAUGGACUUUUGGCGUGUAUUAUAUGAAAUAGGUGUUAAUGGAAUAGUAGUUUAUUUCAUUGAUUGUUA